Molecule: ribosomal RNA, 700 nt
Filed under: uncultured bacterium
Lineage: Bacteria
Description: bacterial SSU rRNA
Rfam family: Bacterial small subunit ribosomal RNA
Source: RNAcentral
GAACGCGAAGUCCCGCAAGGGAUCAGUAGAGUGGCAAACGGGUGAGUAACACGUGGGUGACCUGCCUUCGAGUGGGGGAUAACGUCCCGAAAGGGACGCUAAUACCGCAUGACAUCCUGCCUUUGAAGAGGCGGUGAUCAAAGCUGGGGAUCGCAAGACCUAGCGCUUGGAGAGGGGCCCGCGCCCGAUUAGCUAGUUGGUGGGGUAAUGGCCUACCAAGGCAACGAUCGGUAGCCGGCCUGAGAGGGCGGACGGCCACACUGGGACUGAGACACGGCCCAGACUCCUACGGGAGGCAGCAGUGGGGAAUUGUUCGCAAUGGGCGCAAGCCUGACGACGCAACGCCGCGUGGAGGAUGAAGAUCUUCGGGUCGUAAACUCCUUUCGAUCGAGACGAAUGGCCUUCGGGUGAACAAUCCGGAGGAAUGACGGUACCGAGAGAAGAAGCCCCGGCUAACUCCGUGCCAGCAGCCGCGGUAAUACGGGGGGGGCAAGCGUUGUUCGGAAUUACUGGGCGUAAAGGGCUCGUAGGUGGCCAACUAAGUCACACGUGAAAUCCCUCGGCUUAACCGGGGAACUGCGUGUGAUACUGGAUGGCUUGAGUUUGGGAGAGGGAUGCGGAAUUCCAGGUGUAGCGGUGAAAUGCGUAGAUAUCUGGAGGAACACCGGUGGCGAAGGCGGCAUCCUGGACCAAUACUGAC